Molecule: long non-coding RNA, 902 nt
Filed under: Homo sapiens (human)
Lineage: Eukaryota; Metazoa; Chordata; Mammalia; Primates; Hominidae
Source: RNAcentral
GGGACCUUGUAAGGCUGACUUUGGAAUAUGACUGCAUUCUGAAAACACAUCCAGCUAUGUAUUUCUAGAGUCUGAAGAUGGAGAGAUUUCCAGUUUAAGAUGCCAUACUGAACAUAUACACUGAUCUCUUUGCCUUUGGAAACUCCAUUAAGCUGAUUGUAAAGGAGGAAAAGGAUUCUCACAUGACAAUGAAGAGACUGAAGAAGUAUCAUCAAUGGAUAAAGCAGAAUAGAAAUAGCAGCCGCCUGGACCAUACCUAGAAAGGAAUCAUUUUGCCUGGCAGAAGCAUGAAACAGUUCCAUAUUUGAGAUGGCAUUUACCACUGAGGGAAAAAAAAAGUAUCAUGUGAAAGAAGCAAGAAUUGGACUGACCACACACUUGUCAUUGCCAAUCAGAUGCUGCAAAACAAUGGAUCUGUUUUUCAGAGUUCUGAAAUAAAAUGCUAAUCAAACUAGAAUCUGCUUAGCUAAGACACUGCCAAAUAUGAAGACCAAAUAAAAGAUUUUCAGAUGUGUCAUAAUUCAGAGUUUAUACUCCAAGCAUUCUUUUGUAGAAAGGAACUCAAGGGUGUAUUUCAGCAAAAUAAAGAAGUAAAGUACUAGAGCCAUCACUCAGAGAGCAAAUGACCAGACCAGAUGCUAACAACAAACAUUGUGUGACUUCCUAUCUCCAGCCACUUCUGAAGUCAGAUCUAUUUUCUUGAGUAAGUAAUUUUUUUCCAAGUUUGGGUUGUUUUUCAUACCAUUUGGAACCAAGAGUUCUGGUAGUCACAAUAAUGUUUGGAGAUACUAGAUGGACUGUAAAAGCAGAAUCUCUAUGUACGUUCUCCGCUGAACAGCACGGGAAUUGGUGCCACAGAGAAAGAAAUGUGAUCCUACCAAACCAGUUAGCUCAAGAGCAAU